This 467-nucleotide ribosomal RNA is filed under the name uncultured bacterium. Its description in RNAcentral is "partial 16S ribosomal RNA". It matches the Rfam family "Bacterial small subunit ribosomal RNA", at positions 28 to 507 of the family's 1533-position model. The record is from RNAcentral.
GACGAACGCUGGCGGCGUGCUUAACACAUGCAAGUCGAACGGAAAGGCCUCUUUCGGGGGGUACUCGAGUGGCGAACGGGUGAGUAACACGUGAGUAACCUGCCCUUGACUUUGGGAUAACUUCAGGAAACUGGGGCUAAUACCGGAUAGGAGCUCCUGCUGCAUGGUGGGGGUUGGAAAGUUUCGGCGGUUGGGGAUGGACUCGCGGCUUAUCAGCUUGUUGGUGGGGUAGUGGCUUACCAAGGCUUUGACGGGUAGCCGGCCUGAGAGGGUGACCGGCCACAUUGGGACUGAGAUACGGCCCAGACUCCUACGGGAGGCAGCAGUGGGGAAUAUUGCACAAUGGGUGGAAGCCUGAUGCAGCAACGCCGUGUGCGGGAGGUCGGCCUUCGGGUUGUAAACCGCUUUCGCUCAUGACGAAGCUUUGUGUGACGGUAGUGGGUAAAGAAGCACCGGCUAACUACGUG